RNAcentral lists this long non-coding RNA (505 nucleotides) under Homo sapiens (human). RNAcentral's name for it is "HSALNT0340848". Lineage: Eukaryota; Metazoa; Chordata; Mammalia; Primates; Hominidae. The record is from RNAcentral.
UCUUCACAGUUCAGGCGCUAAUGAUUUUUGCCACCAAACACUUAUGUUCACACCAUUUUUAAAGCAGUUUUAAAUCCUUGGGCAAUUGGUCAAAUGCUUCUUCUGGCUAUUUUCUUGUUCUGAAAGUCAGAAGUUUGAAGAGGGUUUUAGGGAUUCGAAUUAAGGUGUCAGCAGACCUGUGCUUCUCUGGAAGGCUCUACGGGAGAGAUUUACCUUCUCCAGCUUCCAGUGGCUGGCUGCCCACACACCUUGGCUCGUGGCCACCUCCUCACGUCAGUCCAGCCUCUGCCACCAUCGUCAACUCUCCCACUAUGACUGAGACCUUCUGCCUGUCUCAGCACAUGAGUUUCAGGCUCUCUACCGUUCAUGCCCAUGACACCAGGAGCAGCACCCUGGAGCAGACACAGCCAGACCACAAACCCAGCUCAAGGUUAAUCACUGCUGCCCGUCAAUGUGAUUAUCUCCCUCUGCAUGGCAGUGCCAUUUUCCCACUGUGGGACCAGAG